This 66-nucleotide transfer RNA is filed under the name Nephtys sp. 'San Juan Island' YV-2008. Its description in RNAcentral is "tRNA-Gly". Lineage: Eukaryota; Metazoa; Annelida; Polychaeta; Phyllodocida; Nephtyidae. The record is from RNAcentral.
AUCUCUUAAGUAUAAUAAAUGUACAUUUGCCUUCCAAGCAAAAGGAUUAAUAGCUUAAAAGAGAUA